CCUACGGGAGGCAGCAGUGGGGAACAUUGGACAAUGGGGGCAACCCUGAUCCAGCCAUGCCGCGUGUGUGAAGAAGGCCCUCGGGUUGUAAAGCACUUUCAGUGAGGAAGAACGCCUGGUGGUUAAUACCCAUCAGGAAAGACAUCACUCACAGAAGAAGCACCGGCUAACUCCGUGCCAGCAGCCGCGGUAAUACGGAGGGUGCGAGCGUUAAUCGGAAUUACUGGGCGUAAAGCGCGCGUAGGUGGCUUGAUAAGCCGGUUGUGAAAGCCCCGGGCUCAACCUGGGAACGGCAUCCGGAACUGUCAAGCUAGAGUGCAGGAGAGGAAGGUAGAAUUCCCGGUGUAGCGGUGAAAUGCGUAGAGAUCGGGAGGAAUACCAGUGGCGAAGGCGGCCUUCUGGACUGACACUGACACUGAGGUGCGAAAGCGUGGGUAGCAAACAGGAUUAGAUACCCCUGUAGUC
Molecule: ribosomal RNA, 465 nt
Filed under: Vreelandella stevensii
Lineage: Bacteria; Pseudomonadati; Pseudomonadota; Gammaproteobacteria; Oceanospirillales; Halomonadaceae
Description: partial 16S ribosomal RNA
Rfam family: Bacterial small subunit ribosomal RNA
Source: RNAcentral